Molecule: ribosomal RNA, 406 nt
Filed under: uncultured bacterium
Lineage: Bacteria
Description: partial 16S ribosomal RNA
Rfam family: Bacterial small subunit ribosomal RNA
Source: RNAcentral
AUUGAACGCUGGCGGCAGGCCUAACACAUGCAAGUCGAACGAGUGGCGGACGGGUGAGUAAUGUAUGGGAAACUGCCUGAUGGAGGGGGAUAACUACUGGAAACGGUAGCUAAUACCGCAUAACAUCGGCUGCGCCCAUAUGGGAUGAGCUAGUAGGAUGGGUAAAGGCACACCUAGGCGACGUUACCUAGCUGGUCUGAGAGGAUGAACAGCCACACGUGAACUUAGACACGGCCCAGACUCCUACGGUAGGCAGCAGGGGGGAAUAUUGCACAAUGGGCUCAAGCCUGAUGCAGCCAUUCCGCGUGUAUGAAGAAGGCCUUCGGGUUGUAAAGUACUUUCAGCGGGGCGGCGUUACCCGCAGAGGAAGCACCGGCUAACUCCGUGCCAGCAGCCGCGGUAAUUC